Molecule: long non-coding RNA, 320 nt
Organism: Hippopotamus amphibius kiboko
Lineage: Eukaryota; Metazoa; Chordata; Mammalia; Artiodactyla; Hippopotamidae
Exons: 3
Source: RefSeq, a predicted model, not a curated record
GCAAGAGGUUUUCGUUGUUGUUUAUUUGCAUGUAGCUUUCAUUACUGAAGCAGUGGAAGUAAAACUAGCUUUAUGUGCCUGAAGUGUCAAGGAUGGUUAAGGACGGCCUGGUGCAAUUUGAGCUUUGGAAGAGAUUUACCAAAUGGGAUGAGUUUGAAGAGGAUUGGUCAUUAUCUUGGAUGUGACUUUCCAUGAUGGACAUUGUGAUGCACAGUUCAGACUCUCUUUAGGGAAUGGAAAAAUAUAGUUAUUCCUCCUGGGAUUGCAGCAGGUGUUGGUAUCUGACUCCCCCAGCUAGAGGAUGGACUCUGAAGGCCAAG